GAUGAACGCUAGCUACAGGCUUAACACAUGCAAGUCGAGGGGCAGCAUGAACUUAGCUUGCUAAGUUUGAUGGCGACCGGCGCACGGGUGAGUAACACGUAUCCAACCUGCCGAUGACUCGGGGAUAGCCUUUCGAAAGAAAGAUUAAUACCCGAUGGCAUAGUUCUUCCGCAUGGUAGAACUAUUAAAGAAUUUCGGUCAUCGAUGGGGAUGCGUUCCAUUAGGUUGUUGGCGGGGUAACGGCCCACCAAGCCUUCGAUGGAUAGGGGUUCUGAGAGGAAGGUCCCCCACAUUGGAACUGAGACACGGUCCAAACUCCUACGGGAGGCAGCAGUGAGGAAUAUUGGUCAAUGGACGAGAGUCUGAACCAGCCAAGUAGCGUGAAGGAUGACUGCCCUAUGGGUUGUAAACUUCUUUUAUAAGGGAAUAAACCCUCCCACGUGUGGGAGCUUGUAUGUACCUUAUGAAUAAGCAUCGGCUAACUCCGUGCCAGCAG
This 496-nucleotide ribosomal RNA is filed under the name uncultured bacterium. Its description in RNAcentral is "bacterial SSU rRNA". It matches the Rfam family "Bacterial small subunit ribosomal RNA", at positions 28 to 514 of the family's 1533-position model. The record is from RNAcentral.